GUGAGGAAUAUUGGUCAAUGGGCGAGAGCCUGAACCAGCCAAGUCGCGUGAAGGAAGAAGGAUCUAUGGUUCGUAGACUUCUUUUGCAGGGGAAUAAAGUGCGGGAUGUGUCCUGUUUUGUAUGUACCCUGAGAAUAAGGAUCGGCUAACUCCGUGCCAGCAGCCGCGGUAAUACGGAGGAUCCGAGCGUUAUCCGGAUUUAUUGGGUUUAAAGGGUGCGUAGGUGGUUUGAUAAGUCAGCGGUGAAAGUUUGCAGCUUAACUGUAAAAAUGCCGUUGAAACUGUCGGACUUGAGUGUAAAUGAGGUAGGCGGAAUGCGUGGUGUAGCGGUGAAAUGCAUAGAUAUCACGCAGAACUCCGAUUGCGAAGGCAGCUUACUAAGCUACAACUGACACUGAAGCACGAAAGCGUGGGGAUCAAACAGGAUUAGAAACCCGAGUAGUCC
RNAcentral lists this ribosomal RNA (445 nucleotides) under uncultured bacterium. Its description in RNAcentral is "partial 16S ribosomal RNA". It matches the Rfam family "Bacterial small subunit ribosomal RNA", at positions 354 to 796 of the family's 1533-position model. The record is from RNAcentral.